Molecule: ribosomal RNA, 1334 nt
Filed under: Sida crystallina
Lineage: Eukaryota; Metazoa; Arthropoda; Branchiopoda; Diplostraca; Sididae
Description: 16S ribosomal RNA
Rfam family: Archaeal large subunit ribosomal RNA (bases 636-1334)
Source: RNAcentral
AAAGUUACAUCUAACUUGGGGUUUGUAUUUAAAUCAUUAUUAAAAGUAAAUUAAAAGUAUUCGUUUUAGAACCUAAUAUGAAGUGAUAGAGGAGAAGUAUCGUGAGAGAAUGAUGAAAGAAUUUUUUAAUUGCAAUAAAGAAAUUUUUUAACAAUGUACCUUGUGUAUCAGGGUUAAGCAAAAUAAACUUAUGAAUGAGUGAUCCCGAAAUAAAUGUAAGCUAAAUAAAAUUUAGAGUAAAUGUUGUAUAAUUUUUCUUAAGUUCUAUUUAGAGGUGAAAUGCCAAUCGAACUUUUAUAUCUGGUUUUCUGAGAAAUAAAUUAAAUUUAACCAAACAAAUUUUUAAUUAAAAAUAAAUUUAAUAAAAAAGUGUUUGAUAAAGUGUUAAAGGGAUGAGCUUUUAACACUUUUAGGAGGUUAGCACAAUCUAAAAUAAAAAUUAAAUAACGUAAAUAAAUUUAGUAGUGACUGAUUUUUAAAAUGUGUGUAAUAACUUACGUUUAACUUAAUAAAAUUUUUAUCGGAUUUGCUCUAUCUAUUAGAAAAAUUAAAAUAAUAAAGAUUUUAAUGUAAAUAUGCUUGAAUAAGUAGGAUUAGUUGUAACUAAAAUUAAAUUGAAUUACAAGGAUAAUUUUUAAAAAAUUUAACUACUAAAAAGGAACUCGGCAAAUUUAUUUCCGCCUGUUUAUCAAAAACAUCGUCUAUAGAAAAUUAUAGGUACUGCCUGCUCAAUGCUUUAAGUAAAUAGCCGCGGUAUUUUGACCGUGCAAAGGUAGCAUAAUCAUUAGUCUUUUAAUUGAAGGCUGGUAUGAACGGCAAGACGAGAAAUAGACUGUCUCUUAUGUAGCAUCUGAAUUUCAUUUUUAAGUGAAAAAGCUUAAAUAAAUUUAGAGGACGAUCAGACCCUAUAGAGCUUUAAUUAUAAAUAUUUUUAGAGGAAUUUAUUAAUUAGAAUUUAAUUUAUUUAUUUUUUUUGUUGGGGCGACAAGGAGUUUUAAGAAACACUCUUUUUAUAUAAACAUUUAUACGUGGACUGAAGAUCCUCUUAGGGAGAUUAAAAGACUAAGUUACCUUAGGGAUAACAGCGUAAUUUUUUUGGAGAGUUCUUAUCGAUAAAAAAGUUUGCGACCUCGAUGUUGGAUUAAGAAAUUAGCAAGAUGCAGAAGUCUUGCUGGAAAGUCUGUUCGACUUUUAAAUUCUUACAUGAUCUGAGUUCAAACCGGCGUAAGCCAGGUUGGUUUCUAUCCUUAAAUUUAAAACUAUUUUUUUAGUACGAAAGGAUCAAAAAGUAAAGAGAUUCUUAAAAAAAGGAAUAAAAAUAAAAUUAGUAAUAG